Jaculus jaculus (lesser Egyptian jerboa) is the source of this 144-nucleotide small nucleolar RNA. RefSeq annotates it as small nucleolar RNA SNORA48. The transcript has a single exon. Lineage: Eukaryota; Metazoa; Chordata; Mammalia; Rodentia; Dipodidae. The record is from RefSeq and is a predicted model, not a curated record.
ACCCCUUGGCCAUGGGCAAAGAAACACUUCAUUGGUGGUGGUUUUCUUAGAUCAGGCAGUGGCAGAACAAAUAGAAGGCCUUUGUUUAUCCUAGCUUGAUGCCUAACUUGGUGGCCAGAGCUGUUUCUUUCCUAGGGCACAGUC